Non-coding RNA from Pimephales promelas (fathead minnow), 1726 nucleotides. The record is from RefSeq and is a predicted model, not a curated record. NCBI's taxonomy places the organism in Eukaryota, Metazoa, Chordata, Actinopteri, Cypriniformes, Leuciscidae.
CAAGGCUAACACAUCAGAACAAGAGGACAUUUUGCUUUUUUUUUAUCAUGGCAUCAUGUGGACUGAUUCAUUGUUUUUACUGCAAAAAUCAGAUGAAACCAUCCAAAAGGAUCCUAAUAUGUCACAGUUGAGAUUUGGCAGGUGAGGCUGAACAGCAGUUCAUGUGUAUUUAAGGACAGUAGCAGACGGGUUAAAUCAUUCCUUGUGUCGAGAUGCAGUAAUGAAUGACCUACGUACUCUGGAUUUAUUGAAGUAUCCAUUUUGUCUAAUGAUAGCUUUGUGGAGAAGAUGGAGGAUCUUGGUGUCACACAAGGUUGUCUUUGUGAAGGAGACAAAUUUCCUUUCUGCGAUCAAUAGGACGCCAUCUUAUUCCCCAGCCGCUGAUCUUAAUGGGAAGCACAUGAUUGUGAGAUAUCGAAGGCAGCGAAGGAUACAAAUGCUGCCUUCAAAAAUCUAUCAGAUGAAGGUAUCUCAGGAGACGUGAAGUGAAGCUAACAUUGGAUUUGAAUGUCAGGAUGCUAAAACCAAGGUUUUGAUGGCUCCACACUAUAAACAGCUUCAUUUGGGACUGGGAGAGUUCUAGUUUGGUUGUGUUUUGCCUGAGGUGUGCUAUAAAAAAAAUCUAAUUUAUGACCUAUUAUGGGUAUUUUAUUUUAUUUUAUUUUUAGGGAAUGGUCUGGGACAAACAAACACAUUGCAUCUAUUUGAGGGCUUGCAUAUAUGUUUGUAUGUACCACAGCCUUGCCCCAUGUGACUUCCUGUGACAUGCGAGGGCAGGGUGGAAAAUGCUCUGAUGGGUCUCUUGAUUAGCUGUGGCUCUAGCUGUUGUUUCUCUUCCCAAUGUCACCUCAAGGUCUCCCACCAGCAGAGAACUGUGCUUGCCUCUGAUCUAUGGUCAAUCGGGACGGGUAUGUGUUAUACAUCAUUCAGAGGAGGGCUUUUGGUUAGCCGGACACUUAAAAAGGGGGCUUGAUUCCUAUUUUAUUUUAUCCGACAUAUUCACCUGGGCUUAAAUGCCUUGCUUAGGGGCACAGUGGCUCUCUCCAGUUCAAAGGUCACUCCCACUGGGGUCAGAAUGUACAUCCUUUCGAUUACCAGCCCAGACCCUUAACCACUCCACUAUAACCACUCUGUAAAGGGCAAAUGAAAGAGCAGAGUUACAUAAAUAUACAUUAGGGGUGCAAAAGUAAAUUGUGACAAUAUGCAUCAUGUAUAAUUCACCAAAAAUUAACGUUUAAAGUUACAUUUUUGCAUCAGAUACGGUAGUGGCACAUCAAAUAUGAUAAACCCAGAAGGUCACACAUUUGAGCUUCCAUGUUUGUUAAAUAUUAUUAAUAAUUUAAAAAUAAAAUAGAUUUAUAUAUAUUAUAUAUAUAUUAUAAAAUAGAUAAAAUAUUUAAAACAUUUUUAAAUGUAUGUGCAUGCAUAUAUGUCUAAAAUAAUUCUUGAUUUUUAGCUAAGCAAAUUAUUAAGUUAUUAAUUAUUUCUGUUCUGGCGUCACCAUUGCAUUGUGCUUAGGGGAGAAGGAGCCAAACCUAUUCAAGUACAUGUAAUACCACAUUUAACAUUUUAAUGAAUGGUACUUUUUAUUAACUGUUUAUCAUAUGCCUUUGAUUUUAUUUUGGCUUGGUUUAAAGUAUCGUGAGAUCAGUAUUGUGUAUUCAACCAAAUCAUUGGACUAUUGUUACACCCCUAAUAAACAGUCUUCUCAAUGUAAAAGCAGGGA